Molecule: long non-coding RNA, 262 nt
Organism: Eufriesea mexicana
Lineage: Eukaryota; Metazoa; Arthropoda; Insecta; Hymenoptera; Apidae
Exons: 3
Source: RefSeq, a predicted model, not a curated record
AUCGUAUUGGGUUGCCAAGCUGCUACAACGUGCAAAGUCCACAAGGUUUCAGCAAUCACUUGUACCUAGUGCUUCAGUGACGUUUAUGAACUUGGCAAUGCUUGGAAAGAAGCGCCAUUGUUACGCAACCGAAUUCCUUGUUUCGACGUAGAUAUACAGAAAUUAGGUAAAGAAAGGAUCGGUUAGCUUCAUUGUUCUAUGAUAUCAAAGGACCAAGUAGGACUUGCCAACGAGGAAAUCGAAAAAUCCGUGCCAAGAGCGU